AGUGAACGCUGGCGGUAGGCCUAACACAUGCAAGUCGAACGGCAGCACAGUAAGAGCUUGCUCUUACGGGUGGCGAGUGGCGGACGGGUGAGGAAUACAUCGGAAUCUACUUUUUCGUGGGGGAUAACGUAGGGAAACUUACGCUAAUACCGCAUACGACCUACGGGUGAAAGCAGGGGAUCUUCGCACCUUGCGCGAUUGAAUGAGCCGAUGUCGGAUUAGCUAGUCGGCGGGGUAAAGGCCCACCAAGGCGACGAUCCGUAGCUGGUCUGAGAGGAUGAUCAGCCACACUGGAACUGAGACACGGUCCAGACUCCUACGGGAGGCAGCAGUGGGGAAUAUUGGACAAUGGGCGCAAGCCUGAUCCAGCCAUACCGCGUGGGUGAAGAAGGCCUUCGGGUUGUAAAGCCCUUUUGUUGGGAAAGAAAAGCAGCAGGUUAAUACCCCGCUGUUCUGACGGUACCCAAAGAAUAAGCACCGGCUAACUUCGUG
Molecule: ribosomal RNA, 492 nt
Filed under: uncultured bacterium
Lineage: Bacteria
Description: partial 16S ribosomal RNA
Rfam family: Bacterial small subunit ribosomal RNA
Source: RNAcentral